Long non-coding RNA from Brassica napus (rape), 2345 nucleotides. RefSeq lists it as uncharacterized. Lineage: Eukaryota; Viridiplantae; Streptophyta; Magnoliopsida; Brassicales; Brassicaceae. The transcript has 3 exons. The record is from RefSeq and is a predicted model, not a curated record.
AUCAUACCAAACUCAAUUAUAAACUAACACCCCCCCCCCUUAAUUGAGUUUCGGUCUUAAACCAAUGAUCAUUUUUUGCUCUUCAUAACUUGGUGCUCUAAUUUUCAACUUCAUGCUUUUGCCUUUCUUCUUCGUCGUAUCGCUUCUUUUCUUCUACUCUUUCUUUGGUUUUAAUCUUCUUUGAUAUCAAUUUGUACCACACGAAUUUUGAACCAUCACCUCGGCCUUUUUCACCCUAGUUCUUUUGUCUUCUCUUGACCAUUAACUCGGUCUUCUCUAAACCUUGGUCUUCUUGGUUUUCCGAACCUUACCUUGGUCUUCGUUGCCUGUGUUUGUAUGGUUUUACAUAACCAUCAACUUGGCCUAAACCGUAGUCUCUUUGGUUUCUCAAUAUCAUCUAGCACAAAUUUGAUCUUGAAUUCUCCUUAGCCAAAUCCUUGAGCAUCGCUUUCAUAACCAACGUUUUUUUUUUUUUUUUUGUGCAGAUGGUUGCGAAUGGAAACUCUGUCCAUCCUACUCAGCCUCUACACUUUCUUUGAUGACUCUCGUUCACCAUACAGUGACUCUUAGGAUCCUUUUUCCCGCUAGUCUUCUACAUGUCUCCUUCGAGUUUCAUGUGACUCUAUCUUCACACCUCCUUAAAUUCUUUUCUCUGUUGUGCGUGAAUCUUUUUCACGUCCUCUCCGGUGUUGUCUCUACAACCGCUAAUGCUUCCUUUCACUUAUAGUAGGCUUUCACGUGAUUGUGUAUUUUCUCACAUACAUCACAUCAACGGUCGAUCUGAAUCCUUUGUUCCACCACCGUUCCCAGUUUGCUGGUGUGGAGAUGCUCGUCAUCUGUACGCCAGAAAAACCAAUUUUUUUUUUUUUUUGAAUGGAAUAUUUACGGAAUCCCCAUGAAUAGGUUAUCGUACUCAUCCCUAUCGAAUAUAGGAAUCAUUUGUUGCGAUGUUCCCUCCAUCGUCUUCUUCGGUUAUCUCUAUAACCGUUUCCCAUCUUGUGCUGUGCGUGAUCUUCAUCACGUCUUCUCCGGUUCCUGUGCUCCCUUUUUCUCUUAGGUAAGCAGCCUCCUUUCUCGAAUGGUGAUUGGUUUGUGAUUAGUCUGAACAAUGAAUGAAUGAGACAGACUUAUGGCCUGCAAUUAUUAUUUGAAUGCAUAAUUAACAACAAAUAUGAAUUAAAUAAUUUCAACACUCAUUGGGAGGAGAUGUCUCUCUAGUAUUCAUGAGCUCGGGUAUUCAUUUUCCUAAGUAUCAUAUUCACCAGACGAUGCAACGUUUUGCCAGCUCUAGGAUAAAGUCCAUGAAACUAGUGUUAGAUUUGAACGUGGUACAAAUAGCCAUAAGAAACCCAAAGAAGACGACACAGGUGACAGCCUGGCAGGCCCCAUAAUAACAAAGGAAAGUUUGAAGCAGUGAGAGCCAAUACCAUUUGUUCCCCUUCCUACAGAAGAUAUAUGAACCAAUGGGACUACCAACAGAUAAGUUGUUGAAGAUGCUUCCCAUGUGGCGAACCCGAAUAGUUCAGAGGUGAUCACCGCAUCAGUGAACCAUAACAAACGCCAACUAUAUCACAGAACCUACACCGAACUCUGUUGUUAAUGGGCCUUUCCUAAUAUUAUUUUAUUAUUAAUGGGCCGAAUAUUUUGGGCUAUGCCCAUGUCUUUUAAGAACGCGUAGUAUUGAUUCAAUAAGCCCAAUUAACUGAGAAAAAGUGGCGAGUCACGUGGAGUCACAGGAGAGCACACGACAGGCACACUGCGGCUCGUGGAGAAGACAAGAUGGAACGGGAUGUCCCACAACGGAAUAAACUAACGGAGUCAGCGUUGACUGGUCUCCGGGGUGGAGACAACUGUACGGCCGGCCAUAGUCAUGCCAUUUAUUCAUAACGUAUGUGAAAAUCGACCAAUCGUUUUAAUAUCACGAGGCUGACUCAACUUAAUCGCCCGCAAAUCAUGAUAAUUUUCAUAUUCGGACGUAAUCCCCUGUAACUGUUUGUACUGAUUAAAAAGAAAUCAUCAGGUGUCACUUAAUUAGAAUGACAAUUUAGAUUAUGUGGCAGCUUAAAAAUCAAUCGUAAAAAAUGUUGGUCCAAAUCCAAUUAGUAGAAAACAUUAUAUUAACCCAAAAUAUAAAAGCGUGUAUUCUUUCCUUAAAAAAAAUUACGAAAUUAUCUAAUAUGAUUGACAUAUACUCCCUUCGUUCCUUAAAGUUACAUAUUAUAGAUUUUUCACACGUUUUAAUAAAACACAUUAAAUUUACAUAUUUUUUGUGUUUAUUUUUUUCCAUAAUUUUAAGCCAAUAAAAAUUCAACUAGAGCAAUUAAGUUUUUUGAAGUUUGCAAUAA